GGUUUAAAUAACAUCGAAUGUAGUUAGAUUUCAGUGUAUUUAAGUGAGUUUUGACGCUUUGAAAUUUGAUAUUGUCCACAGAAAAAGUUUGCUUGGCUGCUGCACAUUUUCAUGCCAGCGAAGAAGUGUUUACUCAAACUUUGGCACAAAGUAAAUUUUUAUGCAUGCCGACUUGUGACCUCCACAUGUCUUCAUAGUGGAAGGCUUUUUUUUUUAACUGAGCAGCUGGCCACAUUUUUAACAGCAAAAACUGGUGUGUUUCCAACACUAAGCGCUUAAUAAACAUGAUUUGAUUAAAAAAAUAAUUGGACAGUAUUUAUUCCUCUUGUUAAUCUACCAUUUCUCUUUCAUACAUUAUAUUCAUUGUUAGCUUUCAGGGCUCUGUGAUGGACUGGUGACCUGUCCAGGGUGAACCCCGCCUCUCAUCUGAUGACUGCUGGAGAUGGGCACCACCAGCCCCAAUCACCACCCUGCAAGGAUCAGCAUGUUCAGAUCAUGGAUGGAAAGAUUUUAAGGCAUCCGGUCCCAAUCAUUAUCAGUUCUAAUGAUGCCACAUACAUAGUGAAUCCACAACCUCUUAAAAUUGUUUCUGUGAAGUGCAGUGGUCCAGUGAAUGGGAAUGUUCUGUCGUUGAUCCUCACUGUUAUCAAGGCUCUCUCUACUUUUAAUUCAACAUUAUGCGAGUAAAAAUGGCUAAUUUGGACAGCGUCUGCUAUCUUCACCUUCUUGGUUGUUCUUCGUUUUAUGGUGCGUUUAAAAAAAAGCUGAAAGUGUGCC
This is a long non-coding RNA of Xiphophorus maculatus (southern platyfish), 777 nucleotides long. RefSeq lists it as uncharacterized. NCBI's taxonomy places the organism in Eukaryota, Metazoa, Chordata, Actinopteri, Cyprinodontiformes, Poeciliidae. The transcript is spliced from 3 exons. The record is from RefSeq and is a predicted model, not a curated record.